CACCUCUCAAGGUCGCACCCGGAGACUUUCCAGUACUCUACCAGUCUUGACUAUGGGAGGGAAAGUCAAGCAGAGGCAUAUCUAUUCCAUUCCUAGUUUGGGCAGUGGCUAGUGAGUGGAAGGCAAUCUGCUUCAAGU
This 138-nucleotide small nucleolar RNA is filed under the name Ornithorhynchus anatinus (platypus). The record is from RNAcentral. Lineage: Eukaryota; Metazoa; Chordata; Mammalia; Monotremata; Ornithorhynchidae.